GACAGAGGGGGCAAGCGUUGCUCGGAAUCACUGGGCUUAAAGCGUGCGUAGGCGGACAUGCAAGCAUGUUGUGAAAUCCCAUGGCUCAACCAUGGAACUGCUUCGUGAACUGCAUGUCUUGAGACAAGUAGGGGUGGUCGGAACGAUAGGUGGAGCGGUGAAAUGCGUAGAUAUCUAUCGGAACACCGAAGGAGAAGUCAGGCCACUGGGCUUGUUCUGACGCUGAGGCACGAAAGCGUGGGGAGCAAACGGG
RNAcentral lists this ribosomal RNA (253 nucleotides) under uncultured bacterium. Its description in RNAcentral is "partial 16S ribosomal RNA". It matches the Rfam family "Bacterial small subunit ribosomal RNA", at positions 524 to 776 of the family's 1533-position model. The record is from RNAcentral.